Molecule: ribosomal RNA, 780 nt
Filed under: uncultured bacterium
Lineage: Bacteria
Description: bacterial SSU rRNA
Rfam family: Bacterial small subunit ribosomal RNA
Source: RNAcentral
GAUGAACGCUGGCGGCGUGCUUAACACAUGCAAGUCGAGCGAAGCAAUUUAAGUGAAGUUUUCGGAUGGAUCUUAGAUUGACUGAGCGGCGGACGGGUGAGUAACGCGUGGAUAACCUGCCUCACACAGGGGGAUAACAGUUAGAAAUGACUGCUAAUACCGCAUAAGCGCACAGUACCGCAUGGUAUAGUGUGAAAAACUCCGGUGGUGUGAGAUGGAUCCGUGUCUGAUUAGGUAGUUGGUGGGGUAACGGCCCACCAAGCCGACGAUCAGUAGCCGACCUGAGAGGGUGACCGGCCACAUUGGGACUGAGACACGGCCCAAACUCCUACGGGAGGCAGCAGUGGGGAAUAUUGCACAAUGGGCGAAAGCCUGAUGCAGCAACGCCGCGUGAGUGAAGAAGUAUCUCGGUAUGUAAAGCUCUAUCAGCAGGGAAGAAAAUGACGGUACCUGACUAAGAAGCCCCGGCUAACUACGUGCCAGCAGCCGCGGUAAUACGUAGGGGGCAAGCGUUAUCCGGAUUUACUGGGUGUAAAGGGAGCGCAGACGGCACUGCAAGUCUGAAGUGAAAGCCCGGGGCUCAACCCUGGGACUGCUUUGGAAACUGUAGAGCUAGAGUGCUGGAGAGGCAAGCGGAAUUCCUAGUGUAGCGGUGAAAUGCGUAGAUAUUAGGAAGAACACCAGUGGCGAAGGCGGCUUGCUGGACAGUAACUGACGUUCAGGCUCGAAAGCGUGGGGAGCAAACAGGAUUAGAUACCCUGGUAGUCCACGCUGUAAACG